This 303-nucleotide ribosomal RNA is filed under the name uncultured bacterium. RNAcentral's name for it is "partial 16S ribosomal RNA". It matches the Rfam family "Bacterial small subunit ribosomal RNA", at positions 507 to 809 of the family's 1533-position model. The record is from RNAcentral.
AGCAGUAGCCGCGGUAAUACGUAGGUGGCAAGCGUUGUCCGGAAUUAUUGGGCGUAAAGCGCGCGCGGGCGGAUCGGUCAGUCUGUCCUAAAAGUUCGGGGCUUAACCCCGUGAUGGGAUGGAAACUGCCAAUCUAGAGUAUCGGAGAGGAAAGUGGAAUUCCUAGUGUAGCGGUGAAAUGCGUAGAUAUUAGGAAGAACACCAGAGGCGAAGGCGACUUUCUGGACGAAAACUGACGCUGAGGCGCGAAAGCCAGGGGAGCGAACGGGAUUAGAUACCCGGGUAGUCCCUGUCUCUUAUACA